GACAGAGGGUGCAAACGUUGUUCGGAAUUACUGGGCGUAAAGCGUGUGUAGGCGGUUGCACAAGUCGGAUGUGAAAGCCCCGGGCUCAACCCGGGAAGUGCACUCGAAACUGUGCGACUGGAGUCUCGGAGAGGUUGGUAGAAUUCUCGGUGUAGAGGUGAAAUUCGUAGAUAUCGAGAGGAAUACCGGCGGCGAAGGCGGCCAACUGGACGAAGACUGACACUGAGACACGAAAGCGUGGGGAGCAAACAGG
RNAcentral lists this ribosomal RNA (253 nucleotides) under uncultured bacterium. Its description in RNAcentral is "partial 16S ribosomal RNA". It matches the Rfam family "Bacterial small subunit ribosomal RNA", at positions 524 to 776 of the family's 1533-position model. The record is from RNAcentral.